UGAAGGGCCGCGGUAUCUUGACCGUGCGAAGGUAGCAUAAUCAUUAGUCUUUUAAUUGGAGGCUUGUAUGAAUGGUUGGACAAAAAGUAAGCUGUCUCAUCUACAAAAUUUGAAUUUAACUUUUAAGUGAAAAGGCUUAAAUAAUUUAGGGGGACGAUAAGACCCUAUAAAGCUUUACAAUAAUCUAAAUAUUCCAAGAUUUGUUAGUCUAAUUUGGGUUAUUUAGAGUUUGUUUCGUUGGGGCGACGAGAAUAUAAAUUAAAUAACUGUUCUUUUCAGUACUACAAUAUUAAUUGAUUAAAAAUUGAUCCUUUAUUAAAGAUUAAAAGAUUAAGUUACUUUAGGGAUAACAGCGUAAUCUUCUUAGAGAGUCCAUAUCGACAAGAAGGGUUGCGACCUCGAUGUUGAAUUAAGGGAUCCUUCUGGUGCAGCAGCUAUAAAGGAA
This 445-nucleotide ribosomal RNA is filed under the name Hemipenaeus carpenteri. RNAcentral describes it as "partial large subunit ribosomal RNA". It matches the Rfam family "Bacterial large subunit ribosomal RNA", at positions 1924 to 2572 of the family's 2925-position model. Lineage: Eukaryota; Metazoa; Arthropoda; Malacostraca; Decapoda; Aristeidae. The record is from RNAcentral.